RNAcentral lists this long non-coding RNA (1018 nucleotides) under Cricetulus griseus (Chinese hamster). RNAcentral describes it as "lncRNA (ENSCGRG00015030306.1)". Lineage: Eukaryota; Metazoa; Chordata; Mammalia; Rodentia; Cricetidae. The record is from RNAcentral.
AGAGGAGGUAUGUAGGGUGCUGUCACAGGACCUAUGUUGAUGGAGAACUUGUUCAACGCAGGCCACACAGCCUCCUUUUGGAUUUCCUCAAUCAGCUUUUCAUCAUCCUCCGUGGGGUUGCUCCAGAGAGAGCACCUGGAACAUUCCUGGCAAGAGGCUCCUGGAAAGAGAGGGUGCUGGUCAUAGCCGUUGAUAGAAACACGACAGACAUAGCACAUCUGGGGACCACAGCGGCAAGACAUGCGGUUGCAGCCUUCAGAUUUGAUGAGGAGGGCCCCACACUGGUGGCAUUUUCUCAUGGGAGGAGCAGUCGUUUUUUGUUUUUUGUUUUUUGUUUUUGAUAGAUGUCCUGUACUUGACGUCAUCUUUUUCAGCCAGCUCCUCACAGGAACUUCUGGGAAGGAACCAUAGAUGUCCUCCUUCCUCACUGAGCAGGAGCAUCAGCUGAACAAGGUGGAAAAAUUGACCCUUCAUCUACAGAUGAUAACAAGGAGAGGAAUGAACUGACCCAUUAUACCAGCAAUGAUUUGAACAGCAGGCAUUCAUCAUGCCCCGUUCUCUGGUGACUGUCUUGACCCUCCUAUGUCAAGCCCAGCAUUCCUCAGGUCAUUGCAGGCUCCACCUCCAGAGUGUCCUUCUGCCCAAAUAAAUUUUCCUGAGUAUAUCUGAGGCAGAACUGAGGCCUGGGCAAGAAUGAGAUGGGGACGCAGGCUGUUCUGCUUCCUCCAAAAGAAAAGCAGAGCCUGUGGCCUGAGUCACAUUCGACUGUUAGGGGCAGUAGUGUGUGAGCUUACAACAUGCAUUUCAAGAAGGUUUGAUAGGUGUUGGCUUGUGGGAGAUGCUGGGUGCUAUGGGUUUAUGGUGUCUGGAGACAUGGCUCAGCAGUUAAGAGCACUGACUGUUCUUCUACAGCAUCUCUGAGUGAAUCCCAGAUUACUGUGUGUGCUUGUGCCUGCUGUGGUGCACGUGGAAAGAUCACAGAACAACUUGCAGAAGCCAGUUCUCUCCUUCCAUCAAG